AGAGUUUGAUCCUGGCUCAGGAUGAACGCUGGCGGUCUGCUUAACACAUGCAAGUCGAGCGGGCUCUUCGGAGCUAGUGGCGGACGGGUGAGUAACGCGUGAGAAUCUGCCCACAGGAGGGGGACAACCACUGGAAACGGUGGCUAAUACCCCAUAAGCCGAGAGGUAAAAAGGAAUCCGCCUGUGGAGGAGCUCGCGNUCUGAUUAGCUAGUAGGUGAGGUAAGAGCUUACCUAGGCGACGAUCAGUAGCUGGUCUGAGAGGAUGAGCAGCCACACUGGGACUGAGACACGGNCCCAGACUCCUACGGGAGGCAGCAGUGGGGAAUUUUCCGCAAUGGGCGAAAGCCUGACGGAGCCAGACCGCGUGAGGGAAGAAGGCCUUUGGGUUGUAAACCUCUUUUCUCAGGGAAGAAGAAAGUGACGGUACCUGAGGAAUCAGCCUCGGCUAACUCCGUGCCAGCAGCCGCGGUAAGACGGAGGAGGCAAGCGUUAUCCGGAAUUAUUGGGCGUAAAGCGUCCGUAGGUGGUGAUUCAAGUCUGCUGUCAAAACCCAGGGCUUAACUCUGGAUCGGCAGUGGAAACUGAAUGACUAGAGUGCGGCAGGGGCAGAGGGAAUUCCCGGUGUAGCGGUGAAAUGCGUAGAGAUCGGGAAGAACACCGGUGGCGAAAGCGCUCUGCUGGGCCGCGACUAACACUCACAGGACGAAAGCUAGGGGAGCGAAUGGGAUUAGAUACCCCAGUAGUCCUAGCUGUAAACGAUGGAAACUAGGUGUGGCCUGUAUCGACCCGGGCCGUGCCGGAGCUAACGCGUUAAGUUUCCCGCCUGGGGAGUACGCACGCAAGUGUGAAACUCAAAGGAAUUGACGGGGGCCCGCACAAGCGGUGGAGUAUGUGGUUUAAUUCGAUGCAACGCGAAGAACCUUACCAGGGCUUGACAUGUCGCGAAUCCCGGUGAAAGCUGGGAGUGCCUUCGGGAGCGCGAACACAGGUGGUGCAUGGCUGUCGUCAGCUCGUGUCGUGAGAUGUUGGGUUAAGUCCCGCAACGAGCGCAACCCUCGUCCUUAGUUGCCAGCAUUCAGAUGGGAACUCUAGGGAGACUGCCGGUGACAAACCGGAGGAAGGUGGGGAUGACGUCAAGUCAGCAUGCCCCUUACGUCCUGGGCGACGCACGUACUACAAUGGUUGGGACAAAGGGUAGCCAAGCCGCGAGGACGAGCCAAUCCCAUAAACCCAGCCACAGUUCAGAUCGCAGGCUGCAACUCGCCUGCGUGAAGGAGGAAUCGCUAGUAAUUGCCGGUCAGCAUACGGCAGUGAAUCCGUUCCCGGGCCUUGUACACACCGCCCGUCACACCAUGGGAGCUGGCCACGCCCGAAGUCGUUACUCUAACCGUUCGCGGAGGAGGACGCCGAAGGCAGGGCUGGUGACUGGGGUGAAGUCGUAACAAGGUAGCCGUACCGGAAGGUGUGGCUGGAUCACCUCCUUUUAGGGAGACCUAAACCCCUCUGUACCGAAAAAAGUAAUUAGGUAAGAGAAAGGGUCAGACCUAGGUCGGUCGAGGAUUAGAAGCAGGCUUUCAAACUCAAUUCGGUUCGGAGGUAUGGGCUAUUAGCUCAGGUGGUUAGAGCGCACCCCUGAUAAGGGUGAGGUCCCUGGUUCGAGUCCAGGAUGGCCCACCUAAACCCAAAAAACCCUAUGUGAGGGAAUAAAGUGGGGGUAUAGCUCAGUUGGUAGAGCGCUGCCUUUGCAAGGCAGAUGUCAGCGGUUCGAGUCCGCUUACCUCCAGUGGAGGAAAAAUCAAGAGUCAGCAACUCAUAAGUAAUGAGACUGCUGGCUAACUUGCCAGCCAGAACCUUGAAAAGUACAUAGCAACAAGUCUAAAAAGUCUAGGGAAAAAGAUCAAACAGACAUUAAUCAAUGGUCAAGCUACAAAGGGCUGACGGAGGAUACCUAGGCACACAGAG
This 1963-nucleotide ribosomal RNA is filed under the name Klisinema persicum SHAFA S10. RNAcentral describes it as "partial 16S-23S ribosomal RNA intergenic spacer". The stretch from base 1 to 1485 matches the Rfam family "Bacterial small subunit ribosomal RNA". The record is from RNAcentral. Lineage: Bacteria; Bacillati; Cyanobacteriota; Cyanophyceae; Desertifilales; Desertifilaceae.